GACGAACGUUGGCGGCGUGCUUAAUACAUGCAAGUCAACUGAAGCAGUGGUAGCAAUAUCGCUGUGGAGGUGGCGCACGGGUGAGUAACACGUAGGUAAUCUGCCUUCAGGUCUGGCAUAACUCCGGGAAACCGGGGCUAAUAGCAGAUGAUGCAGCGGCUCGACAUCGAGACAGUUGUUAAAGCUAUGGCGCCUGAAGAUGAGCCUGCGUCUGAUUAGCUAGUUGGCGGGGUAACGGCCCACCAAGGCAACGAUCAGUAGCUGGUCUGAGAGGAUGAUCAGCCACACUGGAACUGAGACACGGUCCAGACUCCUGCGGGAGGCAGCAGUAAGGAAUAUUGCUCAAUGGGAGAAAUCCUGAAGCAGCAACGCAGCGUGAGGGACGAAGGGCUUUUGCUUGUAAACCUCUGUAGUGAGAGAAAAAAAUCCCAAUCUUUGGGACAUGAUGGUAUCUCAAAAGUAAGCCCCGGCUAACUACGUG
This 481-nucleotide ribosomal RNA is filed under the name uncultured bacterium. RNAcentral's name for it is "partial 16S ribosomal RNA". It matches the Rfam family "Bacterial small subunit ribosomal RNA", at positions 28 to 507 of the family's 1533-position model. The record is from RNAcentral.